UGGCUAAGUGUUUUGGGGGUAUGUGGGAGGUCCUAAGUUUAAGCCAUGCCUUUGGCAAAUUUUGAAAUUUUUCUAAGUUAAGUCUUACUCUUGUUCAGUAAGCUUUUAUUUAAUUGUUUGCAAAACCAUAUUAGAAUAGGCCAGCUAGUCUAGUGGUUAAGUGGAGUGUUGGUGUGUUGGAGGACUUGUGUUUGAUUCUCUGCGAUGGCAAGGAGUAGUAAUUUUGCUUAAAGUUCGGCCAGAGUUGUGUUAAACUGGGAUUCUGAGUAAUGGAUGUGUAGUGGGAGUUGAGAGAGAAAAUUAAGGGAUUGAGAUAGGGUAGGUAGUGGGAUUUAAGUAAAACAGUUUCUCAAAAAUUCUCUCUGUAGAAAAAAAACUGAUCAUCUUCUCCUCCACUUCUUCUUUUUUCAUUUUUUUCUUCUUCUUUCUUUCUCUUCUUCUCUGUUCUUUGCCGAAUUCUUUCCCCAUUCUUACUGUUGUUUUCAUUUUUGUUUUAUUUUCCCUACUAUCGUUGUUUCAAGUCUCGUUCUUCACCACUUUUUCGUGCGUUGUCGGUUAAAGGGCUGAAGUUAUUCGAUCGGUGUCGUGGUGGUGAAGAGACUUCGUUGUUCGAUCUAAGGUUGGAAAUUGCUUGGAGUUGCUUUUACGUUGAAAACGAUACAGGUGUGUACCCGAAACGUAGAAAACAUGGCUGUACGAUUGACGAGACCAGGCCGUACAUGUAAGACACGACUGUGAUAGCCAAGGCCAAAUUGGAUCGUACGGGCCACACGGGCAUGUGGGCCCACAUGGGUAGGCCACAUGGGCGUGUGAGCCCAUUUUCACUUAAUUGAUUGCUAAGAUUGCACGGGUCGUCCAAGUCAACUGUGAACCUACUGUAGGGUAAUCCCCAGACCUAGACAGAUCGGUACGGCAAAGGACUCGACGGUUACCACAGUUUCUAGACUUUACGUUUUUUUUAAUUUUUGUUUUAUGAUUUUAUUAUUAUUGGGAUGUAAUUUAAGGACUCUUGGGACUUUUUCUUAAAUUUGGUUUUUUUUUGUGGAAUUAUAACUGCUAGUCGUAGGAAGUUUGGUUUUCAAAA
Gossypium arboreum is the source of this 1084-nucleotide long non-coding RNA. RefSeq lists it as uncharacterized. Lineage: Eukaryota; Viridiplantae; Streptophyta; Magnoliopsida; Malvales; Malvaceae. The transcript is spliced from 4 exons. The record is from RefSeq and is a predicted model, not a curated record.